Macaca fascicularis (crab-eating macaque) is the source of this 148-nucleotide unclassified non-coding RNA. It matches the Rfam family "Metazoan signal recognition particle RNA". Rfam says of the family: The signal recognition particle (SRP) is a universally conserved ribonucleoprotein. It is involved in the co-translational targeting of proteins to membranes. The eukaryotic SRP consists of a 300-nucleotide 7S RNA and six proteins: SRPs 72, 68, 54, 19, 14, and 9. The record is from Ensembl. Lineage: Eukaryota; Metazoa; Chordata; Mammalia; Primates; Cercopithecidae.
GCUUGGCAUGGUGGUGGAUGCCUGUAAUCCCAGGUACUCAGGAGGCUGAGGCAGGAGAAUCACUUGAACCCGGGAGGCGGGGGUUGCAGUGAGCUGAGAUAGCGCCACUGCACUCCAGCCUGGGUGACAGAGUGAGACUCUGUCUCAA